This 1236-nucleotide ribosomal RNA is filed under the name Paracaecilius japanus. RNAcentral describes it as "16S ribosomal RNA". Lineage: Eukaryota; Metazoa; Arthropoda; Insecta; Psocodea; Caeciliusidae. The record is from RNAcentral.
AGAAAUAGUUUUCUUGAAUUUAAAUUAUUAUUAUUAUUUUAUUAAUUUUAUUAUAAUAAAAUAUUAUUUUUGUAGUAAAUAAAAUUGAAUAAAUUUGUUUAAUUAAAUUUUAUUAGUAUUUAAAUAGAAAUAAUAAAAAUAAAUUAAAGGUUAAUUAAUUUUUAUUACCUUUUGUAUCAGGGUUUAAAUAAAAUUUAAAAUAUUUUUAUUUCCCGAAAACUUUGGAUUUAAUUUACUAUAAUUUUUAAUGUGGAAUAAUUUAAAUUAAAUAGUUAAUUAGAAGUUAAAAAUUAAUCGUUAAAGUUUAUUUCUGGUUUUUAGAUAAAUUAAUUUAAUUAAGAAUUUAGUAUUUUUUUAUUUUUAAUAAAUUAAAAUAAAAUUAUUAAUAUUUAAAUUAUAAAGAGUUUAGUUUUUAUAAUUUUUAAAUUUUAUGGAUUAAAAAUUUUUUUUAGUUUUAAUAUUAUUUAAAGUUAAUAAUUUUUUAUAAAUAAAAAUUUUUUUGUUUGUUUUUAUUAAACAAAUUAAUUUUGUAUCUAAAUUAAAUUUGAAACUAAUUCAAAUUUGUAUUUAUUUUAAAAUUAGUAAAAUUUAGAAUUUAAAUUUAGUAACUCGGCAAAUAUAAUUUGCGCCUGUUUAUCAAAAACAUGUCUUUAAGAAUUUAUAUAAAGUCUAAUCUGCUCACUGAAAAUUUUAAAGAGCCGCAGUAUUUUGACUGUGCAAAGGUAGCAUAAUCAAUAGUUUUUUAAUUGAAAACUGGAAUGAAUGAUUGUACGAUGAAUUAGCUUUCUUAAUUUUAAUUUUUGAAUUUAAAAUUUAGGUAAAAAUACCUAAAUUUUUUUAAUAGACGAGAAGACCCUUUAGAUUUUUAUUAAUAAGUUUAUUAAUAAUUAAUUUAAUAUAUUUAUUAAUUUUAUUGGGGUGAUAUUGUAAUAAAAAUAACUUAAUUAUUUUUAACCAUUUAUAAGUGAAUUUUUUGAUCUAAAAUUUUUAAUAACAAGAUUAAAUUACCUAAGGGAUAACAGCGUCAUAUUAUUUAAGAGUUCAUAUCUAUAAUAAUUAUUGCGACCUCGAUGUUGAAUUAAAAAAUAAACUAAAGCAGAAAUUAGAGUUUAUUAGUCUGUUCGACUAUUAAAUUUUUACAUGAUUUGAGUUCAGACCGGCGUAAGCCAGGUCAGUUUCUAUCUUUAAUAUAAUUUUAUAAAUGGGUACGAAAGGAUAAUUUAUUAAUAAAAUUUA